UGGGGAAUAUUGGGCAAUGGGCGAAAGCCUGACCCAGCGACGCCGCGUGAGUGAAGACGGUCUUCGGAUUGUAAAACUCUGUUGAUAGGGAAGAUAAUGACGGUACCUAUCGAGGAAGUCACGACUAACUACGUGCCAGCAGUCGCGGUAAUACGUAGGUGACAAGCGUUAUCCGGAUUUAUUGGGUGUAAAGGGUGUGUAGGCGGGCAGGCAAGUCAGAUGUGAAAAUUAUGGGCUCAACUCAUAACCUGCAUUUGAAACUGUCUGUCUUGAGGGUCGGAGAGGUAAACAGAAUUCCCGGUGUAGCGGUGAAAUGCGUAGAUAUCGGGAGGAAUACCGGUGGCGAAGGCGGUUUACUGGACGACAACUGACGCUGAGACACGAAAGCGUGGGGAGCAAACAGG
Molecule: ribosomal RNA, 404 nt
Filed under: uncultured prokaryote
Also listed under: 1 other name
Description: bacterial SSU rRNA
Rfam family: Bacterial small subunit ribosomal RNA
Source: RNAcentral